This 326-nucleotide ribosomal RNA is filed under the name uncultured eukaryote. Its description in RNAcentral is "partial 18S ribosomal RNA". It matches the Rfam family "Eukaryotic small subunit ribosomal RNA", at positions 1470 to 1796 of the family's 1831-position model. The record is from RNAcentral.
CCCUUAGAUGUCCUGGGCCGCACGCGCGCUACACUGAACGGAUCAGCGCGUUUUCCCUUCCCGAGAGGGACGGGUAACCUGCUGAACCCCGUUCGUGGUAGGGAUCGGGGCUUGCAAUUAUUCCCCGUGAACCAGGAAUGCCCAGUAAGUGCAAGUCAUAAGCUUGCGUUGAUUACGUCCCUGCCCUUUGUACACACCGCCCGUCGCUACUACCGAUUGAACGUUUUAGUGAGGUACUCGGACUGAGCCUCAGAAGAUUCACGUCUUUUGUGCUGCUCGGGAAGAUUCCCAAACUUGAGCGUCUAGAGGAAGUAAAAGUCGUAACA